UGAAGGGCCGCGGUAUUUUGACCGUGCAAAGGUAGCAUAAUCAUUAGUUCUUUAAUUGUGAUCUGGAAUGAAUGGCUUGACGAGAUGCGAGCUGUCUUAAAUUUGAAUGUUUUAUUGAAUUUGGUUUUUGAGUUAAAAUUCUUAAAUGUUUUUAUGGGACGAGAAGACCCUAUAGAGUUUGACAUAUUGGUUUACUUGUUUAUUUGUUGUUUGUUUUAUUUUUGAUAAGUGGGCUUUGUGUUUUGUUGGGGUGAUGAGAGGAAUAUUAUUUAACUCCUCUUGGUUUAGUGGUUAUAUUAAUUUAUAUUUAUUUGAUCCAUUUAUUUUGAUUAUAAGAUUUAAUUACCU
This 348-nucleotide ribosomal RNA is filed under the name Heterotermes tenuis. Its description in RNAcentral is "partial 16S ribosomal RNA". The record is from RNAcentral. Lineage: Eukaryota; Metazoa; Arthropoda; Insecta; Blattodea; Rhinotermitidae.